This 250-nucleotide ribosomal RNA is filed under the name uncultured bacterium. RNAcentral's name for it is "partial 16S ribosomal RNA". It matches the Rfam family "Bacterial small subunit ribosomal RNA", at positions 107 to 354 of the family's 1533-position model. The record is from RNAcentral.
UGAGUAACACGUAUGGAACCUGCCCUAUGCAGGGGGAUAAGCGGAAGAAAUUCCGUCUAAUACCGCAUAACACCAUUUGGAGACAUCUCCAGGUGGUCAAAGGAGGCGCUCCGGCAUAGGAUGGCCAUGCGUCGCAUUAGCUAGUCGGCGGGGUAACGGCCCACCGAGGCGACGAUGCGUAGGGGUUCUGAGAGGAAGGUCCCCCACACUGGUACUGAGACACGGACCAGACUCCUACGGAAGGCAGCAG